Bactrocera oleae (olive fruit fly) is the source of this 498-nucleotide long non-coding RNA. RefSeq lists it as uncharacterized. The record is from RefSeq and is a predicted model, not a curated record. NCBI's taxonomy places the organism in Eukaryota, Metazoa, Arthropoda, Insecta, Diptera, Tephritidae.
AAGCUAGGUUCGAUCAUAGAGCCAUCAUGUAACAAAUCAUUUUAUUAGCGAAAUCUCAGAAAAAAUGAAAACUUGAAUCAACCAAGAUCUGAAUAUUUGCCAAGUAUUGUUUUAUUAACUUGAUCUGGUUUUCACUAGUUAAAAAAUUACAAAGCUCCCAAGCUUAGCUGGGCAGAUAUUUAAUUUACCACGGAUGAAUAUUUUCAAACGAAUUACCAAAUACUGACAGAUAAUAUGGCUCUAGCAAGUAGACCUCGGUUGUACUGCAAACAUUUUGAUCACCGCGGCCGGUGUAUCGAUGAAGAAGCUAGACCAAAUUUAUUUCGUAGAACCUAGUAAGGAGCUGGUGUACAAACUUACUUAAAUAUGCUUAUAUAUAAAUAUGUACAAAUAUUGCGAAUAUAUAAAUAAUAUUGUAUAUAGAAUAAUAUUUGGUGAACUAUGGUGUAUACGAUUAAAUCAAUUAAAUAAAGAAUGAAAUAAAUAUGCAUUUACUAA